GAUGAACGCUAGCUACAGGCUUAACACAUGCAAGUCGAGGGGCAGCAUGGUCUUAGCUUGCUAAGGCCGAUGGCGACCGGCGCACGGGUGAGUAACACGUAUCCAACCUGCCGUCUACUCUUGGACAGCCUUCUGAAAGGAAGAUUAAUACAAGAUGGCAUCAUGAGUUCACAUGUUCACAUGAUUAAAGGUAUUCCGGUAGACGAUGGGGAUGCGUUCCAUUAGAUAGUAGGCGGGGUAACGGCCCACCUAGUCUUCGAUGGAUAGGGGUUCUGAGAGGAAGGUCCCCCACAUUGGAACUGAGACACGGUCCAAA
RNAcentral lists this ribosomal RNA (316 nucleotides) under uncultured bacterium. RNAcentral's name for it is "bacterial SSU rRNA". It matches the Rfam family "Bacterial small subunit ribosomal RNA", at positions 28 to 335 of the family's 1533-position model. The record is from RNAcentral.